UACGGAGGGUGCAAGCGUUACUCGGAAUCACUGGGCGUAAAGGGUGCGUAGGCUGACUUUUAAGUCAGGCGUGAAAUCCUAUGGCUUAACCAUAGAACUGCGCUUGAAACUGGGAGUCUAGAGUUCAGAAGGGGCAGAUGGAAUUAGUGGUGUAGGGGUAAAAUCCGUAGAUAUCACUAGGAAUAUCAAAAACGAAGGCGAUCUGCUGGGAUGAUACUGACGCUGAGGCACGAAAGCGUGGGGAGCAAAC
This 250-nucleotide ribosomal RNA is filed under the name uncultured bacterium. RNAcentral describes it as "partial 16S ribosomal RNA". It matches the Rfam family "Bacterial small subunit ribosomal RNA", at positions 524 to 773 of the family's 1533-position model. The record is from RNAcentral.